This 389-nucleotide non-coding RNA is filed under the name Pongo abelii (Sumatran orangutan). Lineage: Eukaryota; Metazoa; Chordata; Mammalia; Primates; Hominidae. The record is from RNAcentral.
CUUCAGGAUGCCUCUGUCCCUCUGUGAGAAGCAGAGUUCCACUUCAUUAUCUCCAUAAUCCAACCUGGGGCUGGGUAAGAAGAGCACAGCCACUCUCUGAGUGAUUUAACAGGAUGCUUUAAUGAUUUAUAGAAAAGGAACAUUGACCCCAGAUGAGCAAAGCAAGGCUUAAAGAGCUAAGGAGACUGAGGGAAUGAAGGUUUUGAAGUGGUCUGAAUGGAGAAAGAAGUGGUGGGAGAGCUGAGUCAUCAUGCAGCACACGGCAAGGUAGCAGAAAACCCCAGAGAACAACAGCAGCCUGCCCCAGAGUCAGCCGUGAGCGCUGAUUUAGUUUCAGGAAAACAAUAACACUUUGUCCCAUUAAAUUAAUGUUGUUAAUUUGAAGUUUA